This 924-nucleotide ribosomal RNA is filed under the name uncultured bacterium. RNAcentral describes it as "bacterial SSU rRNA". It matches the Rfam family "Bacterial small subunit ribosomal RNA", at positions 8 to 916 of the family's 1533-position model. The record is from RNAcentral.
AGAGUUUGAUCCUGGCUCAGGACGAACGCUGCGGCGUGCUAAUACAUGCAAGUAGAACGCUGAAGAAAGGAGCUUGCUUCUUUUGGAUGAGUUGCGAACGGGUGAGUAACGCGUAGGUAACCUGCCUUGUAGCGGGGGAUAACUAUUGGAAACGAUAGCUAAUACCGCAUAACAGCUUUUGACACAUGUUAGAAGCUUGAAAGAUGCAAUUGCAUCACUACGAGAUGGACCUGCGUUGUAUUAGCUAGUAGGUAGGGUAACGGCCUACCUAGGCGACGAUACAUAGCCGACCUGAGAGGGUGAUCGGCCACACUGGGACUGAGACACGGCCCAGACUCCUACGGGAGGCAGCAGUAGGGAAUCUUCGGCAAUGGGGGCAACCCUGACCGAGCAACGCCGCGUGAGUGAAGAAGGUUUUCGGAUCGUAAAGCUCUGUUGUAAGAGAAGAACGUGUGUGAGAGUGGAAAGUUCACACAGUGACGGUAACUUACCAGAAAGGGACGGCUAACUACGUGCCAGCAGCCGCGGUAAUACGUAGGUCCCGAGCGUUGUCCGGAUUUAUUGGGCGUAAAGCGAGCGCAGGCGGUUUAAUAAGUCUGAAGUUAAAGGCAGUGGCUUAACCAUUGUUCGCUUUGGAAACUGUUAAACUUGAGUGCAGAAGGGGAGAGUGGAAUUCCAUGUGUAGCGGUGAAAUGCGUAGAUAUAUGGAGGAACACCGGUGGCGAAAGCGGCUCUCUGGUCUGUAACUGACGCUGAGGCUCGAAAGCGUGGGGAGCAAACAGGAUUAGAUACCCUGGUAGUCCACGCCGUAAACGAUGAGUGCUAGGUGUUAGGCCCUUUCCGGGGCUUAGUGCCGCAGCUAACGCAUUAAGCACUCCGCCUGGGGAGUACGACCGCAAGGUUGAAACUCAAAGGAAUUGACGG